Penicillium camemberti is the source of this 72-nucleotide non-coding RNA. The record is from Rfam. NCBI's taxonomy places the organism in Eukaryota, Fungi, Ascomycota, Eurotiomycetes, Eurotiales, Aspergillaceae.
GCCAGCGUAGCUCAAUGGUAGAGCGUCAGGCUUUUAACCUGAAUGUUGCGGGUUCGACCCCCGCCGUUGGCU